ACUGAUCUCCAAAAAUUCUUUUCAUUAUUGCCAUUAAUGAUCAGCCUCUACUUCCAAUAUAAGGUGGCAAAAGAAAUCUUUUGAUCAUCAGCACAAUUUUGUACAUCAAAUAUCUUCUCCAUUUGCAUCAUCCAUUUUUCUACCACCAAUGAAAUUAGGUUCACCAUGCUUUCAUUGCGCUACUCUGAUGUAGUAUCCUCGAUCAACCCUUUCAUCGCACUUAAUUAAUCAAAAGCAGAUGAAGUAGGAGGACUAAAUGUCCUCGUCAUCCUAGAUUCCUAAAAUACAUCAAAGAAAAUUUUCACCGAUCAUUAUAGUUCACUAGACCUCAAUAUAUUUUGCACGUCAACAUAUCAAAUAUUUCA
RNAcentral lists this long non-coding RNA (365 nucleotides) under Musa acuminata (dwarf banana). RNAcentral describes it as "long non-coding RNA (MACU_LNC009687)". Lineage: Eukaryota; Viridiplantae; Streptophyta; Magnoliopsida; Zingiberales; Musaceae. The record is from RNAcentral.